Molecule: transfer RNA, 84 nt
Filed under: Gemmatimonadaceae bacterium
Lineage: Bacteria; Pseudomonadati; Gemmatimonadota; Gemmatimonadia; Gemmatimonadales; Gemmatimonadaceae
Also listed under: 2 other names
Description: tRNA-Leu
Rfam family: tRNA
About the family: Transfer RNA (tRNA) molecules are approximately 80 nucleotides in length. Their secondary structure includes four short double-helical elements and three loops (D, anti-codon, and T loops).
Source: RNAcentral
GCCCGGGUGGCGGAAUCGGUAGACGCAGGGGACUCAAAAUCCCCCACCGGCAACGGCGUGCGGGUUCGACUCCCGCCUCGGGCA